RNAcentral lists this ribosomal RNA (253 nucleotides) under uncultured bacterium. RNAcentral's name for it is "partial 16S ribosomal RNA". It matches the Rfam family "Bacterial small subunit ribosomal RNA", at positions 524 to 776 of the family's 1533-position model. The record is from RNAcentral.
UACAGAGGUCCCGAGCGUUGUUCGGAUUCAUUGGGCGUAAAGAGCGUGUAGGCGGCUUGUUAAGUCUUGCGUGAAAUCUCGGGGCUCAACCCCGAGCGGUCGUGAGAAACUGGCAGGCUAGAGUGCGGGAGAGGAGAGUGGAAUUCCUGGUGUAGCGGUGAAAUGCGUAGAUAUCAGGAGGAACACCGGUGGUGUAGACGGCUUUCUGGACCGUAACUGACGCUGAGACACGAAAGCGUGGGUAGCAAACAGG